This 77-nucleotide transfer RNA is filed under the name Alphaproteobacteria bacterium. RNAcentral's name for it is "tRNA-Pro". It matches the Rfam family "tRNA". Rfam says of the family: Transfer RNA (tRNA) molecules are approximately 80 nucleotides in length. Their secondary structure includes four short double-helical elements and three loops (D, anti-codon, and T loops). The record is from RNAcentral. RNAcentral also lists the same sequence under 1 other name. Lineage: Bacteria; Pseudomonadati; Pseudomonadota; Alphaproteobacteria.
CGGAGUGUAGCGCAGCCUGGUAGCGCAUCUGUUUUGGGAACAGAGGGUCGGGAGUUCGAAUCUCUCCACUCCGACCA